Molecule: non-coding RNA, 210 nt
Organism: Vicia faba (fava bean)
Lineage: Eukaryota; Viridiplantae; Streptophyta; Magnoliopsida; Fabales; Fabaceae
Source: the annotation of a GenBank genome assembly
AUGUUAGGCAAAGUUCAUAAGCAUUUUCAUGGAAUCGAAGAAGAUAAUCUUCAUUCAAUACUAUUUCAAAGAUUUAUUACAUCCAUCCAAAAUUCAACAAUCAAAAGACAUUAUAUAGUGAUAUUAUGGCAUCAUUCUAGGAAUAAAGAUUCUGAUCAAAAUUUUCACCGAAGUCCACGUGAAUGUCUUGGCUUUCAUCUUGUCUUAUAA